RNAcentral lists this ribosomal RNA (157 nucleotides) under Peltula umbilicata. Its description in RNAcentral is "5.8S ribosomal RNA". The stretch from base 1 to 100 matches the Rfam family "5.8S ribosomal RNA", at positions 55 to 154 of the family's 154-position model. Rfam says of the family: 5.8S ribosomal RNA (5.8S rRNA) is a component of the large subunit of the eukaryotic ribosome. It is transcribed by RNA polymerase I as part of the 45S precursor that also contains 18S and 28S rRNA. Functionally, it is thought that 5.8S rRNA may be involved in ribosome translocation. The record is from RNAcentral. Lineage: Eukaryota; Fungi; Ascomycota; Lichinomycetes; Lichinales; Phylliscaceae.
GCGAUAGGUAAUGUGAAUUGCAGAAUUCAGUGAAUCAUCGAAUCUUUGAACGCAUAUUGCGCCCCUCGGUAUUCCGAGGGGCAUGCCUGUCCGAGCGUCAUUAGCGACACCCUCGGGGUCAUGUCCCCGGCCUUGGGCCUGGUGCCUCCCCGCGAGA